UACAGAGGUCCCGAGCGUUGUUCGGAUUCACUGGGCGUAAAGGGUGCGUAGGUGGUGGGGUAAGUCUGAUGUGAAAUCUCCAGGCUCAACCUGGAAAAGGCAUUGGAAACUACCCUGCUGGAGGGUUGGAGGGGGGACUGGAAUACUGGGUGUAGCAGUGAAAUGCGUAGAUAUCCAGUGGAACACCAGUGGCGAAGGCGAGUCCCUGGACAACACCUGACACUGAGGCACGAAAGCCAGGGGAGCAAACAGG
RNAcentral lists this ribosomal RNA (253 nucleotides) under uncultured bacterium. RNAcentral describes it as "partial 16S ribosomal RNA". It matches the Rfam family "Bacterial small subunit ribosomal RNA", at positions 524 to 776 of the family's 1533-position model. The record is from RNAcentral.